RNAcentral lists this ribosomal RNA (468 nucleotides) under uncultured bacterium. RNAcentral's name for it is "partial 16S ribosomal RNA". It matches the Rfam family "Bacterial small subunit ribosomal RNA", at positions 28 to 507 of the family's 1533-position model. The record is from RNAcentral.
GACGAACGCUGGCGGCGUGCUUAACACAUGCAAGUCGAACGGACAGACCCUGCUUUUGUUUGUUUCUCGUGUGGCGAACGGGUGAGUAACACGUGAGUAACCUGCCCUUAACUUUCUGGUAUCUUCAGGAGACUGGGGCUCAUACCGGGUAGGAUCUCCUGCUGCAUGGUGGUCAAUGGAAAGUUUCGGCGGUUCGGUCUGGACUCGCGGGUUCUCAGCUUGUUGGUGGAGUAGUGGCUUACCCAGGCUUCGACGGGUAGCACGCCUGAGCGGGUGACCGGCCACACUGGGACCGAGAGACGGCCGAAAUAGCGAAGGGAGGGAGAAGGGGGGAAGAAUGAACAAUGGGCGGAAGCCUGAUGCAGAAACGCCGCGUGCGGGAUGACGGCCUUCGGGUUGUAAAACGCAUGCGUCUGUGACGAAGCGUGAGUGACGGGAAUGGGUAAAGAAGCACAGGCUAACUAAGGU